AUACGUAGGGUGCAAGCGUUAAUCGGAAUUACUGGGCGUAAAGCGUGCGCAGGCGGUUUUGUAAGACAGUGGUGAAAUCCCCGGGCUCAACCUGGGAACUGCCAUUGUGACUGCAAGGCUGGAGGGCGGCAGAGGGGGGUGGAAUUCCGCGUGUAGCAGGGAAAUGCGUAGAUAUGCGGAGGAACACCGAUGGCGAAGGCAAUCCCCUGGGCCUGCACUGACGCUCAUGCACGAAAGCGUGGGGAGCAAACAGGAUUAGAUACCCUGGUAGUCCACGCCCUAAACGAUGUCAACUGGUUGUUGGGGAUUUAUUUUCUCAGUAACGAAGCUAACGCGUGAAGUUGACCGCCUGGGGAGUACGGCCGCAAGGUUAAAACUCAAAUGAAUCGACGGGG
This 395-nucleotide ribosomal RNA is filed under the name uncultured bacterium. RNAcentral's name for it is "partial 16S ribosomal RNA". It matches the Rfam family "Bacterial small subunit ribosomal RNA", at positions 523 to 918 of the family's 1533-position model. The record is from RNAcentral.